AUUGAACGCUGGCGGCAGGCCUAACACAUGCAAGUCGAGCGGUAGCAGGCCUUCUGCUCCUGGCUUCAGCGGCAGAGGGGUGUAUAACGCCUAAGAGUCUGCCUGGGAGGGGGGGAACGCGUCGGAAGAUGUGCUCUUACCCCGCAUACGCCCAGGGUGAGAGCGGGGGGGAUCUUCGGACUUCAUGCCCUCGCACGAGUCUAGGUCGGAUUAGCUAGUUGGUGGGGUAAAGGCCUACCAAGGUGACGAUCCGUAACUGGUCUGAGAGGAUGAGCAGCCACACUGGAACUGAGACACGGCCCAGACUCCUACGGGAGGCAGCAGUGGGGAAUUUUGGACAAUGGGCGAAAGCCUGAUCCAGCAAUGCCGCGUGUGUGAAGAAGGUCUUCGGAUUGUAAAGCGCUUUAAGUUGGAAGGAAGGGCAGUAAGUUAAUACCUUGCUGUUUUGACGGUACCAACAGAAUAAGCACCGGCUAACUACGUG
RNAcentral lists this ribosomal RNA (484 nucleotides) under uncultured bacterium. RNAcentral describes it as "partial 16S ribosomal RNA". It matches the Rfam family "Bacterial small subunit ribosomal RNA", at positions 30 to 507 of the family's 1533-position model. The record is from RNAcentral.